AGUGAAUAGAUACCCAGGUAGUCCUAGCCGUAAACGAUACUCGCUAGGUGUCGGCCACGGUGCGACCGUUGUCGGUGCCGUAGGGAAAGCCGUGAAGCGAGCCACCUGGGAAGUACGGCCGCAAGGCUGAAACUUAAGGGAAUUGGCGGGGGAGCACCACAACGGGUGGAGCUUGCGGUUAAAUUNGGAUUCAACGCCGGAAAUCUUACCGGGACCGACAGCGAUAUGAAGGCCAGGCUGAAGACUUUGCCGGAUUAGCUGAGAGGUGGUGCAUGGCCGUCGUCAGUUCGUACUGUGAAGCAUCCUGUUAAGUCAGGCAACGAGCGAGACCCACGCCCACAGUUGCCAGCGUACUCUCCGGAGUGACGGGUACACUGUGGGGACCGCCGCUGCUAAAGCGGAGGAAGGAAUGGGCAACGGUAGGUCAGUAUGCCCCGAAUAUCCCGGGCUACACGCGAGCUACAAUGGUUGGAACAAUGGGUAUCUACCCCGAAGGGAUGAAAUCUCCUAAAUCCAAUCUUAGUUCGGAUUGAGGGCUGCAACUCGCCCUC
This 551-nucleotide ribosomal RNA is filed under the name uncultured bacterium. RNAcentral's name for it is "bacterial SSU rRNA". It matches the Rfam family "Archaeal small subunit ribosomal RNA", at positions 723 to 1275 of the family's 1478-position model. The record is from RNAcentral.